Molecule: transfer RNA, 89 nt
Filed under: Acidimicrobiia bacterium
Lineage: Bacteria; Bacillati; Actinomycetota; Acidimicrobiia
Description: tRNA-Ser
Rfam family: tRNA
About the family: Transfer RNA (tRNA) molecules are approximately 80 nucleotides in length.
Source: RNAcentral
GGAGGGCUGACCGAGUGGCCGAAGGUGCUCGCCUGCUAAGCGAGUAGGGGGUGCAAACUUCCUCGAGAGUUCAAAUCUCUCGCCCUCCG